Prosopis cineraria is the source of this 559-nucleotide long non-coding RNA. RefSeq lists it as uncharacterized. The transcript is spliced from 3 exons. Lineage: Eukaryota; Viridiplantae; Streptophyta; Magnoliopsida; Fabales; Fabaceae. The record is from RefSeq and is a predicted model, not a curated record.
GGGGUGGAAGGUUGUUGUUUCUAAGUCCCACAUUGGUUAGAUGAGGGAAGAGAAGAGGUGCCUUCAUGUAUAAAAAGGAGGGGGUGUGUGCAUUAGGAAGCAUGAGAGGCUAAGAUGCAAUUUAGAGAAAAUUGCAACUUUGGGCCCAAAGGUUUGAAUAAUUAAAUUCAAACCUAUAGUUUUUUUUUAAUAUAAUUUUGGGACUCACAAUCCCAUUUUUAUAUUAUUUUUCUCUCUUCCUCUCACGUUGCUCGGCGUUUUCUCGCAAGGGGGGAUUAUUUUCUUUUUUCUUCAGAUUAUAUUGACAAAGAUAGUGGUGAAAAAGGAGUUGUGAAGGGGAACUUGUUGUUCAAGACACAAGGAGCGAAUCCGGCCGAGAAAGCACCAGAGGUGUAAUUAUGGUGUAUGAGACACCAUCUUUUACGUUGCCUCUUAUUUUGGAUUAUACAAUGUAUCUUGUGCCAACUUAGGAUAUAUCUUGUCUAUGGAGCAUGUAAACUCUAAUCCUUUUUAUUAAAUGCAUUUAUAUGUCCAAGAGGAUUAUGUCUAUCCCUUUUGA